Molecule: long non-coding RNA, 507 nt
Organism: Orcinus orca (killer whale)
Lineage: Eukaryota; Metazoa; Chordata; Mammalia; Artiodactyla; Delphinidae
Exons: 4
Source: RefSeq, a predicted model, not a curated record
UGGGAAAAUGUCUAUUCAAUUCCAUUGCCCAUUUUUUAACCAAGUUAUUUGUUUUGUGUGUUUGUUUGUUACUGUGUCAUAAGAGUUCCUUAUAUAUUUUGGAUAGUAACCCUUCAUCAUACAUAUGGUUUGGAGAUAGUUUCUCCCAUUCCAUAAGUUUCCUUUUCAUUUUGUUGACUGUUUGCUGUGCACAACUUUUUAGUUUGAUUUAGUUUAGUCCCACUUGUCUAUUUUUUCUUUAGUUGCCUGUGCUUUUGGUGUCAUAUCCAGGAAAUCACUGCCAAGGCCAACACUGACAGAAUCUUAAUCUUGGACUUCUAGCCUCCAAAACUAUGAUCCAAGAUGACACAUUUUAAUCAAAGAAACACUUGAUAGAGGAAUGGCUGUAGAAUGAGAAGAAGAGGCAGAAAAAGAGUCUGCUGACCUCUGCUCUGAUGCAUAGCAGAAAACAAUGUCUCUUACUCCAUCAGGAAGAUGUGAAGGACUAAGCUUUAUCCCAGUACUAGG